This 56-nucleotide transfer RNA is filed under the name Bos taurus (domestic cattle). It matches the Rfam family "tRNA", at positions 8 to 63 of the family's 71-position model. From Rfam's summary of the family: Transfer RNA (tRNA) molecules are approximately 80 nucleotides in length. Their secondary structure includes four short double-helical elements and three loops (D, anti-codon, and T loops). Lineage: Eukaryota; Metazoa; Chordata; Mammalia; Artiodactyla; Bovidae. RNAcentral also lists the same sequence under 2 other names. The record is from Rfam by way of RNAcentral.
UAGCUCAGACGGUAAAGCGUCUGCCUGCAAUGCAGGAGACCUGGGUUCGAUCCCGG